UACCAACUUGUCAAUGCUCGAUUUCAUCUGAUCUCAGAAGCUAAGCAGGGUCAGGCCUUGUUAGUACUUGGAUGGGAAACCACCCUGAAUACCAGAU
Molecule: ribosomal RNA, 97 nt
Filed under: Periophthalmus magnuspinnatus
Lineage: Eukaryota; Metazoa; Chordata; Actinopteri; Gobiiformes; Gobiidae
Source: RNAcentral